AAAAAUCGAACUCGGAAGUGCUUAACUUGAAAGCAUAUUCGCAAAGUUGUGCAGCAAAGGUAAUGAGGAAAUAAAGCAAGUAAGAAGGUUUGCAGUAAUGUAAAUAGCAAUAAUGAAAUGCAAACCAGAGAUUACGCCGAUUUUAAAGUGGUUCGGUCAAAUGACCUACAUCCACUUGCGAGGCCCCUCUUCGAUGAGGC
Molecule: long non-coding RNA, 200 nt
Filed under: Musa acuminata (dwarf banana)
Lineage: Eukaryota; Viridiplantae; Streptophyta; Magnoliopsida; Zingiberales; Musaceae
Description: long non-coding RNA (MACU_LNC008716)
Source: RNAcentral